RNAcentral lists this unclassified non-coding RNA (278 nucleotides) under Hevea brasiliensis (rubber tree). The record is from RNAcentral. Lineage: Eukaryota; Viridiplantae; Streptophyta; Magnoliopsida; Malpighiales; Euphorbiaceae.
GCUGAACAAAAAUUUUAUUGUAACAUACGUCAAAUCUGUUUUGAUUGUUUGUAACAUAUGUCAAAUCUUCUUAUAAGUGAGAAAAAUGACUUCAAUAUCGUCUGAAUCAAGCGUAGGAGCAAAAAACCUUGCUCAAAAAUGAAGAAUGGUUUAAUUUGAAAUGUAAUCUGUUGGGGAAAAAAACAGCGUAACUCAACUUUCUAAAUCAAGACUUGACAAUGUAAUUCUGUCGGCUGAUGGGGUUCAUGACCACCGGGGGACCAGCAGUGCGAGGCCAU